GGAUGUGAGGUCAAUCUGGCUGCAACAUCUGUCACCCCAUUGAUUGACAGGGUUGAUUCAGCUGAUCUGACUGGCUAGGCAGGUGUCCCCUUCCUCCCUCACCACUACAUGUACGUCCCUCCAGAAGCUGUGCACUCUUGGUCAAAGAGGACGGCCUUUCCCGAAUAGAGAUGGACCGGUCUUCAGCUGAGGGUAUACAAGUAGCUGUGCUCCUGAUCGAACCUCCAAACAAGCUCUCAAGAAAACUGCAAACUAUUAGAGACGGGGCUACAAACACAUCUACAGAAUCGUCUUUAACGUAAAAAGCCAGAGCAUACUUGU
Unclassified non-coding RNA from Erinaceus europaeus (western European hedgehog), 321 nucleotides. Its record names the gene 7SK. It matches the Rfam family "7SK RNA". From Rfam's summary of the family: 7SK was discovered as an abundant small nuclear RNA in the mid-70s but a possible function has only recently been suggested. NCBI's taxonomy places the organism in Eukaryota, Metazoa, Chordata, Mammalia, Eulipotyphla, Erinaceidae. The record is from Ensembl.